AGAUGUGAGGGUGAUCUCGCUGUGAAGUGUCACCCACUGAUCCCCAGGGUUGGUUCAGGUGACCUAGUUGAUGAGAUGAGUUUCUCUUUCUCACUCACAGCUCCACGUGUGUUUGUUCUGAAGCUGCACACCAGUGGAAGAGUGUACAAGUAGACCAGGCAUGGUGGGUCACACCGUUAAUCCCAGCACUCUGGAGGCAGAAGCAGGCGGAUCUCUGAGACUGAGAGGCCAGCCU
This 235-nucleotide small RNA is filed under the name Peromyscus maniculatus bairdii (prairie deer mouse). RNAcentral's name for it is "7SK RNA (ENSPEMG00000003355.2)". The stretch from base 1 to 181 matches the Rfam family "7SK RNA". From Rfam's summary of the family: 7SK was discovered as an abundant small nuclear RNA in the mid-70s but a possible function has only recently been suggested. Two independent studies have found that 7SK RNA binds the CDK9/cyclin T complex (known as elongation factor P-TEFb). P-TEFb activates transcription by phosphorylating the C-terminal domain of RNA polymerase II. The record is from RNAcentral. Lineage: Eukaryota; Metazoa; Chordata; Mammalia; Rodentia; Cricetidae.